GAAGCUUCCGUUGAAUGACGUGCUUGCACUGAUUUCAACAAUGAAGCGAGUGGCGAACUGGUGAGUAACACGUGGGGAAUCUGCCCAGAAGCAGGGGAUAACACUUGGAAACAGGUGCUAAUACCGUAUAACAACAAAAUCCGCAUGGAUUUUGUUUGAAAGGUGGCUUCGGCUAUCACUUCUGGAUGAUCCCGCGGCGUAUUAGUUAGUUGGUGAGGUAAAGGCCCACCAAGACGAUGAUACGUAGCCGACCUGAGAGGGUAAUCGGCCACAUUGGGACUGAGACACGGCCCAAACUCCUACGGGAGGCAGCAGUAGGGAAUCUUCCACAAUGGACGAAAGUCUGAUGGAGCAAUGCCGCGUGAGUGAAGAAGGGUUUCGGCUCGUAAAACUCUGUUGUUAAAGAAGAACACCUUUGAGAGUAACUGUUCAAGGGUUGACGGUAUUUAACCAGAAAGCCACGGCUAACUACGUGCCAGCAGCCGCGGUAAUACGUAGGUGGCAAGCGUUGUCCGGAUUUAUUGGGCGUAAAGCGAGCGCAGGCGGUUUUUUAAGUCUGAUGUGAAAGCCUUCGGCUUAACCGGAGAAGUGCAUCGGAAACUGGGAGACUUGAGUGCAGAAGAGGACAGUGGAACUCCAUGUGUAGCGGUGGAAUGCGUAGAUAUAUGGAAGAACACCAGUGGCGAAAGCGGCUGUCUAGUCUGUAACUGACGCUGAGGCUCGAAAGCAUGGGUAGCGAACAGGAUUAGAUACCUGGUAGUCCAUGCCGUAACGAUGAGUGCUAGUGUUGAGGGUUUCGCCCUCAGUGCUGCAGCUACGCAUAGCACUCGCCUGGGAGUACGAC
This 844-nucleotide ribosomal RNA is filed under the name Levilactobacillus brevis. RNAcentral describes it as "bacterial SSU rRNA". It matches the Rfam family "Bacterial small subunit ribosomal RNA", at positions 50 to 886 of the family's 1533-position model. Lineage: Bacteria; Bacillati; Bacillota; Bacilli; Lactobacillales; Lactobacillaceae. The record is from RNAcentral.